Oreochromis aureus is the source of this 2577-nucleotide long non-coding RNA. NCBI's taxonomy places the organism in Eukaryota, Metazoa, Chordata, Actinopteri, Cichliformes, Cichlidae. The record is from Ensembl.
GUUUUGCAGUUUGCACCUCUCCACGCUGCGUGCAUUCAUUAAAAUCAAUUGUUUGAAUGACCUCUUCUGGACCAUCAUUGUUUUACUCUCGUCCUCAAUUUCGAACCCGUAACAUUUGGUGCAUUUGGCCGAGGUUGAGGGAGAAAAGUUGGAGGUUGAGACCGAGAGGGUCCGAGGCGCUCGAACAAGCAGACACGAGUCAGUGGUCGAAGUGAGUGGACAUAAGCCGGCUUAUUCAAAGGUAAGGCACUACCUGUUGAAUUAUUUCCAAAAUGUGCCAGAUUGGACAUGAGAAAUUAAAGUCUACUUACUGAAAUUACUGGUAAAUGUCUCUUUUGAUUUUGGUGAAAAUCUCAUGAGAAGUUGAAGUUGAAGUAAGGAAUAAGAAAAAGAGUAAAAGUGAGUUAGAGUCUCACUAAAGGUACCGGGUUAAAGUCCCAAAGGAAAAGAGAAUAAGAGAAAAUAAGUAAAGAGUAAAGAAUAAGUGUAUUUAAAGCAGUUGGACUGCAGAGUGAAGUUAGAGUAUAGGUUAUUGGCGAAGAGUUUGUGACAUUAAAGUCUCAAUUGAUUAUAAAGCCGGGCUUGGACACCGAUAUGGUGGGUUUGUGAUUUUCGGGGUGUCUUCAAAAUAAUUAAAUUGUAUAGAACGGGACUCUGGGAGUCUAACAAGUGCAUUUUUGUCGGAAGGUGACGCUUCCAAGUUGUCGGUGACGAUCGACAUUUCCUCGGGGAGAGAUAGUUCACUUGGCAAGUGUGGAGAACUACGACACUCCAAAAUAGCCACUGACUGGGUCAGUUUACCGUCCGGGGCGGUGGUGUGCACUUUUUUGGUUAGUAGAAACCGGGUUUCGGGCGUCUACCUUUUGACUUAAAACUUCGGGGAAGCCUGGGAUGUGAAGUGUCCCCAAAACAGGGCUUUUCGGCAGGGGUUGAGUUGGUUGACGCUUUUAAAUUGUGUUAGGGCAUUAGAUAUGUGACCACGGCCCGGGGCCGGGACUGGUUAAAUUGAUCAUAAAAAACUCAGGGAGUUUGUCCCUUGGAGGGUUAAGUUAAAGUUUUGUCUAAAUUCGGUAGGUUCUGCAAUUUCAGGCCUUGUAAAUAUUUUUAAGAUAUCAGACGUCUCUGUGUUAUAAUUUUUAUGUUUGUAUAUAGGCUCUGUCUGCCACGGGCACUGCAGCAGGCUGUUUAUUUUGAGAGUGUGUCUGUGUUUAUGUAAAUGAGAUGCCUGUGACUUAUUUAGAGUGACAUUUCCUGUUUACUAAUGAGUGGCUAAUGACUGACUGCAGAGCCAGGGUUAAGGACGACUUCAAUCUGUGUUUUAAGGGAAGAAAUGCAGUUUAUGUUUAUUAUAUUUGUGUGACUGUUGUUGAUUAUGAUAAGUAUUUCAUGAUAACUGUAGAAUAUGAGUAUGGGGUUUGCUUGACACGUGUCUGUACUAGGUAAAACUGUGUAAAACUGAUAGGAAGUUUAUAGGGACUGCUACACAUGGCUGAUGCCUGUAUUUAAGACGCUGGAGUUGUUUAUUACAAUAUUUGUGUCAAUACAGGUGGGCGUCUUUCAACUUUGCAACCUUGAGUUCAGCAGCAGAAAAGUAGAUUAAAAGAAUUGGGAGAGAAUAAGCCAGUUUUUGGCUCGAAAUUGUGCGGCUGGAUCUCUCACUUUGUCCCUGAAGCGGAGAAGAAGUUCAAAGGACAGUUAAUCGCCUGAUGAAGACAGAUAGAACAUCGUGGACUUGAAUACAGCAGGCAAACGGCAGUGCCACUGAUCCAUUAACACUGAUGACGACUGACGACCAGCAGCAGCAUGUAAGACUAAUGCAACAUGUACUGUGAAAAUACAGGCUGGGCAGUUGAACAGUGGGAUAAAGAAUUGUGGAAGAGCACUGGACAUUGAGUGAUAUUUUGCCACGCUGGGACUUAAUCUGAAAGAAAAGACUGUAAAGAAACAGAGAAGAAGACAGCAGCUGAGUUGAGACUGUGUUUGCUGGAGCUUUGAAGCCCGAAUAGGACAUUGUGCAGAGAGGACCAGUGAGAGAUGAAGCUGGACGAGUUUGACUGCGAGAAUAUAGGAUAUAAUUGGAAUGAAAAUUGAAGCCUGAACUCAUGAAUUGUUUAGGGAUGUCCACCACCGCAUAACAAAGAGGUAAACAUUAGAAAAGGUAAGAAUAAUGAACGAAGAUAAUUGUCAUUACCUUAAUGAAUAGAAAACACACAUACAAAUUGUUACAUGUGAGAUUAUUUUUGAAAUGAAUCAGAAGUGAGAUAGUUUGAAUCUAAAGCUCAGUGGUGAAAUGCAUAAAUUAAAUAUGAAUAUAUAGGAUGCAAUGAAGAAACAGCUUACACGUAGUGUACAGUAACAUGAAUACAUCGCAAGGCAACGAAGAACUCAAUGAAUUAAUUUAAUUUAAUGAAGAAGCAGUUUACACCCAAUUAACAUAAAAUGCAGGGAAGAACACGCUUACAUGCCUGGCAUAAUUGGUGUUUCUGAUCGGAGAUAGAGAAAUGGGUUAUUUAACCACUGGUGAUAAUAAUGAAAAUGUCUUAGUUUUGUUAUUUUCAGGAGUAAAGCAGACUUGGA